Molecule: transfer RNA, 73 nt
Filed under: Podarcis lilfordi (Lilford's wall lizard)
Lineage: Eukaryota; Metazoa; Chordata; Lepidosauria; Squamata; Lacertidae
Description: tRNA.Lys
Rfam family: tRNA (bases 8-65)
About the family: Transfer RNA (tRNA) molecules are approximately 80 nucleotides in length. Their secondary structure includes four short double-helical elements and three loops (D, anti-codon, and T loops).
Source: RNAcentral
CCUGGGGUAGCUCAGUUGGUAGAGCAUGAGACUCUUAAUCUCAGGGUCAUGGGUUUGAGCCCCAUGUUGGGGA